CUUCGGACAAUAUACAAGGUGCUGCAUGGUUGUCGUCAGCUCGUGCCGUGAGGUGUCGGGUUAAGUCCCAUAACGAGCGCAACCCCUAUCAUUAGUUGCCAUCAGGUCAAGUUGGGGACUCUAAAGGAACUGCCUACGCAAGUAGUGAGGAAGCGGGGAUGACGUCAAAUCAGCACGGCCCUUACGUCCAGGGCUACACACGUGCUACAAUGGCCGAUACAGAGGGCAGCUACCUGGUGACAGGAUGCAAAUCUCCAAAGUCGGUCUCAGUUCGGAUCGGAGUCUGCAACCCGACUCCGUGAAGUUGGAUUCGCUAGUAAUCGCGCAUCAGCCAUGGCGCGGUGAAUACGUUCCCGGGCCUU
Molecule: ribosomal RNA, 362 nt
Filed under: uncultured Sphingobacteriales bacterium
Lineage: Bacteria; Pseudomonadati; Bacteroidota; Sphingobacteriia; Sphingobacteriales
Description: bacterial SSU rRNA
Rfam family: Bacterial small subunit ribosomal RNA
Source: RNAcentral